GCCACAAAACACCCAAAUUCCUAAAUUUCUCAAAUGCUUGGCGCCCUGAUAUUUUCGUUUUCCCCUUUCUCUCUCUCGCUUUCCAUCUUCCAUCUUCGAGGUCUCUCUCUCUCUCUCUCUCUCUCUCUCUCAUCUGUGUUCACUCCCGCCGGCAUCAGUUUGUUGAUCCACCUUCACCAAGCCGACAUUACCGCCCACUCUCUCUCGAUCUCGAUCAGUACAUGGAUAUCACCUCUCGCAGCCCCAAUAGCACCAGCGUGGGAAGAGUUCUAGAUUGUUUGUAGCAGCAGUGGCAGUGGCAGCGACUUCCCAUCGAUUCUCUCUCCAGCAUCCAGAUAUAUCUCUCAUCUGCUAUCCUCUGCUCUCCUCGCCUGUCCUCUCCUCUUUUUCUCUUCUUUUUCAUUCAUUGGAAUCAAACCCUCUUCAUUGGAUUUAACUAAAUAAAAAUAAAUAAAUCAACCCUAAACACUAGUUUUAAUCCAACGCAUUAUGCAACAUUUUUACAAUUAAAUCUCGUGUUGAAUCUGUGAAAAAUGAUACUCCCUUUUUGUCUAUGCAAGUAUGAGUGUGGGGAUUGGAACCCUAGAAAGUUGUGCAGAGAUUGGAGAUUGAGAGAGAGAGGAGAGAGGGUGUGAAGGGUUGAUUGGUUGAUUCAAAGUGCUGUGAAUGUGUUUGAUGAAUGUGUGUGCUCUUCACCUGUCUAUUUCUAUUUUUUUUGAUGAAUGUGUGUGCUUCAUUUAUAUACACAAGGAAGACUGCAAUAUUUUCAGUGCAAAAGGUGGAAAAUAUUUAGCACGUAACUUUUCUAAUUACAGUCAUAGUGGGUUGACUCUCCUUUUUUAUUUUUAAUUAUUUUUUUUACACAAAUUUAACUAGUCUGAGUUGUAUGUUAGAUGCGAUUUCUUUCUCUUUUCGGUUUUGGCUAAUAAGAGUUUGGUUUUGAGACCAUUGGAAUGCAAUGAUCCUCAUUGCUAUGGCAGGGAAACAAGCCCUUCUACAUCACUGUUGUGGUAUCAAGUCCAUUUUCCUUGAGCAUGUGGUGGGCCAACUAGUUUAAGAAAAUUUGAGUAAACAAGGUAUUCGUUCUAAUUAGAAGCUCAACUAAUUUCUAAAAAGAAUAAGACUUCAUAAACUUCGAAGCCUAGUGAGUAUCAAACUCAAUACCAAUUAACUCUGACAACCAAUUUCGUCAUGUAAAGAACUAAUUACUUGAUGACUAGAGUGGAUAUUUUUUUAGUUAGAUGAAGGUGCUUCUUCAUUGGCAUUUUGGUGAAAUUUUAGUUUGCACUUUGAGAGAGGACAUGUCAACUUAAACCUUGUAAUGGUUGCUGCCAUCAUGCAAUUGGGUAAUAGCUUCAAUGUUUUAAAUCAUACUCUCAAGAGGAUAUGACUUACUUUUACUAAAUAUUCUAUUUUCCUCUUAUUGUAGCUACUUUAUUUCUGUUUCUUAGUUGUUGUGAUCCAUUCAAUGAGAAAGCACUUCGAGCUGGCUGAGGAGCCUUCUUUUAGCUUCCUAUAGUUUCUGGAACUUGGACUCAUCUAGAAGCUCUCAGAAAUAAAUUCCAUUUUAAGAUUUUGGCUGGUCAUCCUGAGAGUAAUGAACAAUCGAAGCCAGUGUCUAGGCUUUCUGAAGGGCUUGCAAAUUCUUUAGUAAAUUUGCCACUGUGCUUGGUCUUGGGUGGCGAAAGGAGUGACCUUUCAACAAAAACUAAGCAUGUAUGUGAGCUUGUAAUCAUUCUAAUGGUAGGACAAUUUGAGUCUCUUAAUGUUUCUGUUGUUGGUGGGAUUUUCUUAUAUAUGCUGUAGCCUGAGAACCAUAGAUAUGCCUUAAUCUUUCCAUGAACUGUCAUGCCAGUUUUAGUUCUAAUUCUCUGUAACAAACAUUAUACAUAAAGCGCAAAAAGAUAUAAUAUAACAUCAAAUUCAUAGGUCAAAGUUUCAUUUCAUCCUAGCUAUAAAUUAGUAUAUGCCAUCGGUGGGGAUUCUUUGACUGAUUAGCAUGAAUAAAACAUUUGAUUAUCACAUUCAAAAUGCGCAACUUAAUAUAGUAUGAAAAUUCUGCUAAGAAAACUAUGAGUAUAAAGACCCAAAUUGUAUAGAGCAUUCAAUGGGGAAAAUUGUGGUUCUGAUGAUAAGUCAAAGGAAAGGCACCAAAUCCUAAAAGCUAUUAACAUAUGUUUUUAAACUUUAUAAUCUUCAUAUGAAUAUACGGAUUAUAGCUCUUGAUCCAGGACUUAUUGCAUAAUAUUUUCAAUCUUCCCAAAAUUUAAAAAAAAAAAAACUUAUUAAUACCCGUGCUUCCUGUCCAACAUUUAGUUAAAUAUUGAAAUAAAAUCAUCAAGCACUGAAAGAAGCAUAUCAUAAUCUGCUCAACUUAGUUGUAUAACUCAUGUUACCAUGCCAGACAUUAUUCAGUGUCAUUCUAAACACCCAAGACAUCGAAUCUAGCCCUUGAUUACACCAUCUUAUCCUAAACAUAGGAAAUAUUAAAAGCAGUGUUUGAUGAUAAAUUUGUUUGAUCAUAAGCUCCCAUCCCUACAGAUCAGACAGCAACCUGCAAAAAAUUAACCUACACUGAGAGCAUUAGUUAAAAAAAUUGGAGGCUCGCCCACUCAACCUACAAAUCUCACAUCACUCAGUCAAUAUGCUAGUGUAGGGCUCACAACACUCAACCCACCUCCCUUAGAAAAUUACCAGCCAUGUACCUGCAGGUUAUUAAUAGUUACCAGAUUUAAGCACAGAGUCAGGUAAAGACCAUUCCUUCAAGAACCAAUUAUUUAUUAAAGCAGCCUCGAAGUUAGUGAUUGACAUCGCUCUACACCUCACUAAUUCCUUUAUCCUGCUGAUUAUAGCCACCUUAUUUGACUUUGUCGUUUGGAAAAUCCUACAAUUUCUUUCCUGCCAGAUACAUUAAAUAGAACAAGUGAAGACCAGUUUACAAAUAGUGACAGACAAUGAGGAACCAAUAAGCUGGGAAGCUAACCAAUUCACAAGUUGGUUUCAGUUCAUAUUAGGCCAGGCCACAUUACACUUAGCUGUCAUGGUGGACUAGAUUCUGAAUGAAAAAGGGCACUCAAAGAAUAGAUGAUUGUGGUCCUCAUCCUCCUCCUCACAAAGCACACACCUAGAAUUAUCCCUCACUCCAAAGAUAACUAGCCUCUCAAAAGUAUUAAGCCUAUUAUAGAUGGCCAUCCAGACAAUGGUACUAACCGUAGGAAUAUGGUGUUUGAACCAAAGAAGUUUAGCCCAAUGCACCUUGGGGUGCUGGGCUCUCCACAGAUUCCAGGCUGACUGAAUAGAGAAAUAGCCAUCAGAGGAAUUUAACCAAAUAAGUUUGUCCUCAAAGUUAGUAGGGUUACCCUGGACAUUAGCCUUGAUCUCAUCUAAUUCCUAGGUUUAGCACACAGGCCAUCUCCAUCUCCAUCUCCAUCUCCAUCUCCAUCUCCAAUCAUCAAUAAUAGACUCAACCUUGGCUUGGUCUUGAGAGCCAAAAUCAUAAAUCACUCUAUCCCCAAACCUCUACUUCAAAGUGCCAAGGGGAUGCCAAUUAUCAAACCAAAGAAAAGUGUUCCUCCCAUUACCCACUUUGUAACCAAUAUGCUGGAUGAGCUCACUUCUAAGGCCUAGGAUUUUCCUCCAAACCCAAGAAGGGUCGCUAGGUGUUUUAACACUCCAGAAGCUUCUAUUCUUGUGCAAGUAGGACUUGCCCAUUGACACCAUAUGUAUUGCUCACCCCCAGUCAAAAGAUACCAAAUGUGUUUAGAUACAACAGCUUUGUUCCAUAUCCCAAGCUCUUCAAACCCAAGGCCACCUUCAUUUCUAGGAAUACAUAAGUGGACCCAAGCCACCUUAGCCCCAGACUUCUUAAGCUCAGGCCCAGACCAAAAGAAAGCUCUAAGAGAGCCUCAAUCUCUCUAAUUACCUUCUUUGGGAGGAUAAAAAGAGAAGACCAAUAAACCUGCAUUGAGAAUAGAGUGGACUUAACAGCUAUGUACUCAUUUUAGGCCUAUGACAAAUUUUGAUGAGAUUUCCUUCCACAUCAUUGAGUGCAUACAUUUUCAUUUGCAAAAUUCCAAAACAAAGGUAUCAAUAUGUGGUACUAUUAUGUUCUUUGAGUUUUCUAAAAAAAUCAAAUGUGCACUAUACUUAUGUUCAAAUGCAUUCUGCGAUCUUGUAUAGCUGAUUGGCUUUAUUUUGCUGCGAAGUGACACCACAACCCAGCCUCAGUCUGUAACCCCAUCUCUAAAAACAGCCACACAGGACGGAUCAAAUGGAUAUUAGACAAACUCAACAAAUCUUGUAUGGGAUUCAUAUAGGAAAAGUAAUUUCAUUUUAUGACAUUUUUGUUAAUGUGCAUACAUGACACCAUAUUCUUCUGCUUAUUUUCUCUCUAGUUCUCUAGGCAAUAUAGUGUAGAUGGGCUUAAGGGCUUGAUCAGAUGGUGGUUGAAUACCUACAGAAACUGUCAUACUUGUGAGUAGUUCUAUUCUGUUAACUAUUUACAUGUUUCAUGAUUAAUGUGGCCAGUGUUACCAGUCUAAAACAUCAAUUUAAACAUGUUUGUUUUUCUUGCAUUCAACUAUGACAUUGGUACCUUUAAAUAGAACCAUAUUGUUACAUUUUAGAAUAAUGUUUGGCUUUAAUGUGAUGAUCUUAAUAGGAAAUUCUUUGUAGAUUUAUCUUCAUAUGCUUGAUACAUCCUUUCUUCUUUAUGAUGCUGGUUUUUCUAAACCUUUGAAAACAAUUCAUGUUUGCAGUGGACAGGAAAAGGGAAUACAUAGGGAUGAACUGUCCCAGAAGCUAAAAACCAUAGCUUAUUGACAUUGUGUGCCCGUAAUAGUGAGAGAUUGAUAUUUACUCUUAGAACCAAUCAACUAUAUUUUUAUGUUUGAAUGUAAUAUAAGUAAACAUUUGCUGAAGGAUGCUCUAAGGUAUUCAUGGCUUCAUUUGUGGGCUUCAUCAAAUGGGAUUCUAGCAUUUUUUUCCUUGUUGACAUUUUUGUUAUUGUAAUCAUUUGCUUGAUGGUUCAAACACAAAUACAAGUAUAAAGUAAUAUGUUAAUCAAAUUGAAUUGUAUAUAUAGUUUUGUAUUUGUAUUUAUAUUUGGUGUAUUGGUUUAUGUUUGUUAUGAAACAAAGUAUCAGUUUUGAUUAGAUACAUUUGCAUUUUAAUGCUUUCGUUCUAUUUUCAUUGUUGAAGGUUAUGAUUAAAAAUUUGGAGCAAGUAGUGAACGUGGUUUUGAAUUCAUUCCAAGAUCCUUAUCAUCGAGUGUGAUGGGCAACUAUUAAUGCAAUUGGACAGUUGUCUUCAAAUUUAGGCCCAGAUUCGCAAGUUCAAUAUCAUCAACAUUUGCUACCAGCUUUGGCUACAACUAUGGAUGAUUUUCAGAAUCCUCGCAUCCAGGAUCAACUUGGAAUUAGAGUACCUCCAUUGAUGAACACAGGAUCAAAGCUCCAAACCCACACCACACGCCCUAAUUUCAAGUUGAAAAGCUGAGAUCUGGAAAGAAUUCCUAGAGAGAAAUUAUAUGAAUCCGAGUGGCUCAUCAUCAUCAUGAUGAGCAACAACACAACAGUCGCUUAUCAUCAUCAUCGACUCUUAGCUUGACGUCCUCGAACAGAUCAAGCUUGUCUUCAGCUUCGACGAACUCCGAACUGCCCCGGGCCGACUCGGAUCUUCAACAUCUCUGUCUCUUACUCAAAUCCCUCAAUCCCUCUCUGCAUGUUCGAUCAGUUCUCCAUCCUGCCGGAGCUCAUCGAUCGGAAAGUGACCCACAUGAAGAUCAUCUCUCCUUCGAAUCACAUCGUCGAUUUCGGCAAAACCCUAAAGCCUCACGAGUCCAUCGGUGCCAUCCUUCUCAAAGACCUCUUCACGAAUCUGGAGCUCCCAUCAUCGGCUGGCGUGCCAUACGUCGUGCACCUCACGAUCGGUGGAUCUCAAAGGCCGCUAGCCGUUGAUGUUGUGGUGGUUGAGAGAGAAGAGAGAGGUGAGAGAGAAGUUGAACAAGUAGAGAGAAGGAAUGGUCGUGGCACUCUACUCUCUCUUUCUCUAGAAAUUUGGGUUCUGAUCCACUCUUCCUUUCCUAGAUAUUUUUGUUGGAUUUAUUUUUCUAGUGUGGCCCAAUAGCUUACAUAUUUUUUACAUGUUUUAAUUUAUUUGGACUCCACAAAUAGAUA
This is a non-coding RNA of Camellia sinensis, 6176 nucleotides long. The record is from RefSeq and is a predicted model, not a curated record. Lineage: Eukaryota; Viridiplantae; Streptophyta; Magnoliopsida; Ericales; Theaceae.